Molecule: ribosomal RNA, 507 nt
Filed under: uncultured bacterium
Lineage: Bacteria
Description: bacterial SSU rRNA
Rfam family: Bacterial small subunit ribosomal RNA
Source: RNAcentral
UAGUCCACGCCGUAAACGAUGGUUACUAGCUGUUUGGACUUCGGUCUGAGUGGCUAAGCGAAAGUGAUAAGUAACCCACCUGGGGAGUACGUUCGCAAGAAUGAAACUCAAAGGAAUUGACGGGGGCCCGCACAAGCGGUGGAGCAUGUGGUUUAAUUCGAUGAUACGCGAGGAGCCUUACUAGGGCUUAAAUGUAGAUUGACAGGUUUAGAGAUAGACUUUUCUUCGGACAAUUUACAAGGUGCUGCAUGGUUGUCGUCAGCUCGUGCCGUGAGGUGUCAGGUUAAGUCCUAUAACGAGCGCAACCCCUGUUGUUAGUUGCCAGCGAGUCAAGUCGGGAACUCUAACAAGACUGCCAGUGCAAACUGCGAGGAAGGUGGGGAUGACGUCAAAUCAUCACGGCCCUUACGUCCUGGGCCACACACGUGCUACAAUGUAGGUACAGAGAGCAGCCACGAUGCAAGUCGGAGCGAAUCUACAAAACCCUAUCACAGUUCGGAUCGGGGU